This 354-nucleotide long non-coding RNA is filed under the name Hordeum vulgare. Its description in RNAcentral is "long non-coding RNA (HVUL_LNC008836)". Lineage: Eukaryota; Viridiplantae; Streptophyta; Magnoliopsida; Poales; Poaceae. The record is from RNAcentral.
UUUGAGCAUUUUGACUUGGCUUUGUGUUCAUUGGAUGUUGUAUUUUCUUUUGGGUAGCGUCACGUGACUAGUACGAGUACGAGGAUCCUGACGAGAACGUUCCUCAGGAGCAAGAGUUCUAUCCCCUAGAAAACGUUCAAGGCAAGAUGAUCACCAACCUCAAUAACGUUUCUAAUUUUUUUAUGCUUAGAUGUCUCAUUUAUAUUGUUAUGCUUCACAGCAUACCACCUGAAUGUCAAUCUUCCCAAAAUUCCAUGAUAAUCCUCUAACCCCUCCACAUCCGAGCGAACAUUGUUUGGCUAAGUUAGCGCUUGCUCAACACUUCUUAUAGCGUGGUUAGCUACUGGUGCAGGG